GGGCCUUUAGCUCAGUUGGUAGAGCACAGGACUGAAAAUCCUGGUGUCCCCAGUUCGAAUCUGGGAGGGCCCACCA
RNAcentral lists this transfer RNA (76 nucleotides) under Deltaproteobacteria bacterium. Its description in RNAcentral is "tRNA-Phe". It matches the Rfam family "tRNA". From Rfam's summary of the family: Transfer RNA (tRNA) molecules are approximately 80 nucleotides in length. Their secondary structure includes four short double-helical elements and three loops (D, anti-codon, and T loops). Lineage: Bacteria; Pseudomonadati; Myxococcota; Myxococcia. The record is from RNAcentral.